RNAcentral lists this ribosomal RNA (730 nucleotides) under uncultured bacterium. RNAcentral describes it as "bacterial SSU rRNA". It matches the Rfam family "Bacterial small subunit ribosomal RNA", at positions 771 to 1501 of the family's 1533-position model. The record is from RNAcentral.
AACAGGAUUAGAUACCCUGGUAGUCCACGCCGUAAACGAUGUCUACUUGGAGGUUGUGCCCUUGAGGCGUGGCUUCCGUAGCUAACGCGUUAAGUAGACCGCCUGGGGAGUACGGCCGCAAGGUUAAAACUCAAAUGAAUUGACGGGGGCCCGCACAAGCGGUGGAGCAUGUGGUUUAAUUCGAUGCAACACGAAGAACCUUACCUGGUCUUGACAUCCACAGAACUUUCCAGAGAUGGAUUGGUGCCUUCGGGAACUGUGAGACAGGUGCUGCAUGGCUGUCGUCAGCUCGUGUUGUGAAAUGUUGGGUUAAGUCCCGCAACGAGCGCAACCCUUAUCCUUUGUUGCCAGCGGUUAGGCCGGGAACUCAAAGGAGACUGCCAGUGAUAAACUGGAGGAAGGUGGGGAUGACGUCAAGUCAUCAUGGCCCUUACGACCAGGGCUACACACGUGCUACAAUGGCGCAUACAAAGAGAAGCGACCUCGCGAGAGCAAGCGGACCUCAUAAAGUGCGUCGUAGUCCGGAUUGGAGUCUGCAACUCGACUCCAUGAAGUCGGAAUCGCUAGUAAUCGUGGAUCAGAAUGCCACGGUGAAUACGUUCCCGGGCCUUGUACACACCGCCCGUCACACCAUGGGAGUGGGUUGCAAAAGAAGUAGGUAGCUUAACCUUCGGGAGGGCGCUUACCACUUUGUGAUUCAUGACUGGGGUGAAGUCGUAACAAGGUAACC